Erinaceus europaeus (western European hedgehog) is the source of this 104-nucleotide small nuclear RNA. NCBI's taxonomy places the organism in Eukaryota, Metazoa, Chordata, Mammalia, Eulipotyphla, Erinaceidae. The record is from Ensembl.
GUGACCUAUUUUGCACAUAUACUGAAAUUAUAAUGACCCAGAGGAGAUUAGCCUGACAGCUGCUCAAGGAUGACAUGCACAUUCAUACAAUGUUCUAUAUUUGG